This 275-nucleotide ribosomal RNA is filed under the name uncultured bacterium. RNAcentral describes it as "partial 16S ribosomal RNA". It matches the Rfam family "Bacterial small subunit ribosomal RNA", at positions 338 to 605 of the family's 1533-position model. The record is from RNAcentral.
CCUACGGGAGGCUGCAGUGGGGAAUUUUGGACAAUGGACGCAAGUCUGAUCCAGCCAUGCCGCGUGAGUGAAGAAGGCCUUCGGGUUGUAAAGCUCUUUUGUCAGGGAGCAAAUCCUGCCUGCUAAUACUAGGUGGGGAUGAGAGUACCUGAAGAAUAAGCACCGGCUAACUACGUGCCAGCAGCCGCGGUAAUACGUAGGGUGCAAGCGUUAAUCGGAAUUACUGGGCGUAAAGCGUGCGCAGGUGGUUACGCAAGUCUGAUGUGAAAUCCCCG